AGUGGCGAACGGGUGAGUAAUGCAUCGGAACGUGCCCAGUCGUGGGGGAUAACGCAGCGAAAGCUGUGCUAAUACCGCAUACGAUCUAUGGAUGAAAGCGGGGGACCGUAAGGCCUCGCGCGAUUGGAGCGGCCGAUGUCAGAUUAGGUAGUUGGUGGGGUAAAGGCUCACCAAGCCAACGAUCUGUAGCUGGUCUGAGAGGACGACCAGCCACACUGGGACUGAGACACGGCCCAGACUCCUACGGGAGGCAGCAGUGGGGAAUUUUGGACAAUGGGCGCAAGCCUGAUCCAGCAAUGCCGCGUGCAGGAAGAAGGCCUUCGGGUUGUAAACUGCUUUUGUACGGAACGAAACGGUCUGGGUUAAUACCCUGGGCUAAUGACGGUACCGUAAGAAUAAGCACCGGCUAACUACGUGCCAGCAGCCGCGGUAAUACGUAGGGUGCAAGCGUUAAUCGGAAUUACUGGGCGUAAAGCGUGCGCAGGCGGUGAUGUAAGACAGAGGUGAAAUCCCCGGGCUCAACCUGGGAACUGCCUUUGUGACUGCAUCGCUAGAGUACGGUAGAGGGGGGUGGAAUUCCGCGUGUAGCAGUGAAAUGCGUAGAUAUGCGGAGGAACACCGAUGGCGAAGGCAGCCCCCUGGACCUGUACUGACGCUCAUGCACGAAAGCAUGGGGAGCAAACAGGAUUAGAUACCCUGG
This 700-nucleotide ribosomal RNA is filed under the name uncultured bacterium. Its description in RNAcentral is "bacterial SSU rRNA". It matches the Rfam family "Bacterial small subunit ribosomal RNA", at positions 94 to 790 of the family's 1533-position model. The record is from RNAcentral.